This is a long non-coding RNA of Lucilia sericata (common green bottle fly), 281 nucleotides long. RefSeq lists it as uncharacterized. The record is from RefSeq and is a predicted model, not a curated record. NCBI's taxonomy places the organism in Eukaryota, Metazoa, Arthropoda, Insecta, Diptera, Calliphoridae. The transcript has 2 exons.
CAGUAUUCCAAUAAGUUCUAUAACGGAAAAAAGUCAUUCACUCGUGAUAAAUAUGAAACUAAUUAAUUUGAUCUUAAUAGUCGCUUGCAUUGCUGCCGGUGCAAUGGCUGCUCCAGGAAAUGCUAAUGCUCAAGGCGUUUUUAAUUCCGGCUAUUUUUUUCAAGGAAGUAAAAAGUGAAACUUAUUUUACUAUUCAUUUAAGUAGCUGAUAUUAAUAAAGAAACACAUUUAAUUCAAUUUAUAAUGUCUGAAUAAAUAAAGUUUUAAAUCUUAAACCUGUA